Molecule: ribosomal RNA, 449 nt
Filed under: uncultured bacterium
Lineage: Bacteria
Description: bacterial SSU rRNA
Rfam family: Bacterial small subunit ribosomal RNA
Source: RNAcentral
UCGAGGAUCAUUCGCAAUGGGCGAAAGCCUGACGAUGCGACGCCGUGUGAGCGAUGAAGGCCUUCGGGUUGUAAAGCUCUUUCGCUUGGGAACAAGAGAGGCUAAUGAAUAAUUAGCUAAUUUGAGGGUACUAGGUAAAGAAGCACCGGCUAACUCCGUGCCAGCAGCUGCGGUAAUACGGAGGGUGCAAGCAUUAAUCGGAUUUAUUGGGCGUAAAGGGUGCGUAGGCGGAUGUAUAAGUCGGGUGUGAAAUUCCGGGGCUCAACCUCGGAGCCGCACUUGAUACUGUAUAACUUGAGGGUUGGCGGAGAGAAUGGAAUUCCACGUGUAGCGGUGAAAUGCGUAGAUAUGUGGAAGAACACCGGUGGCGAAAGCGGUUCUCUAGCUAACACCUGACGCUGAGGCACGAAAGCAAGGGGAGCAAACAGGAUUAGAUACCCCGGUAGUCC